RNAcentral lists this ribosomal RNA (497 nucleotides) under uncultured bacterium. Its description in RNAcentral is "partial 16S ribosomal RNA". It matches the Rfam family "Bacterial small subunit ribosomal RNA", at positions 28 to 507 of the family's 1533-position model. The record is from RNAcentral.
GAUGAACGCUGGCGGCGUGCCUAAUACAUGCAAGUCGAGCGAACAGACGAGGAGCUUGCUCCUCUGACGUUAGCGGCGGACGUGUGAGUAACACGUGGAUAACCUACCUAUAAGACUGGGAUAACUUCGGGAAACCGGAGCUAAUACCGGAUAAUAUAUUGAACCGCAUGGUUCAAUAGUGAAAUACGGUUUUUCUGUCACUUAUAGAUGGAUCCGCGCCGCAUUAGCUAGUUGGUAAGGUAACGGCUUACCAAGGCGACGAUGCGUAGCCGACAGGAGAGGGUGAUAGGCCAAACUGGAACUGAGACACGGUCCAGACUACUACGGGAGGCAGCAGUAGGGAAUCUUCCGCAAUGGGCGAAAGCCUGACGGAGCAACGCCGCGUGAGUGAUGAAGGUCUUCGGAUCGUAAAACUCUGUUAUUAGGGAAGAACAAAUGUGUAAGUAAAUAUGCACGUCUUGACGGUACCUAAUCAGAAAGCCACGGCUAACUACGUG